AUGACAUACCUGAAUUAUUUUCGGAAGAGUCUUUGGAAUUCUGUCUCAUUAUCAGGAACUACGAAACAUCGUCGAAGUGUCUCCGACUGGGAAGCUUCAUAUCUUCCAUUAUCGCCAUUGUUGUGCUCAAUUCCUUUUAAUGGUAGGAUUUUGAACGGGCUUCUGCGAGUGUUUCUCCCAAGGUCUCGUAGCCGAAUUCACCACCGUUAA
Molecule: non-coding RNA, 210 nt
Organism: Vicia faba (fava bean)
Lineage: Eukaryota; Viridiplantae; Streptophyta; Magnoliopsida; Fabales; Fabaceae
Source: the annotation of a GenBank genome assembly